UUCAGUAUGGAGGGCAGAGAGUGGAACAUGGAAAUUGCUUUAGAAGGAAGUUUUGCUGAUUCUUGGAGCCCCUCCUGGAUGGCAGUGCCUGAGGCUACUCCUUCACUUGCUUUAGUGGGGAGUCAAAUCCCAUGAGGAGGAAGGAGACAAAGUAGAAAGGGGGUCGCAGAUAGAGAGUGGGUUAGAAAGCUGACCACGGCAGGUGGCAAGAGAAGCUGAUAGCUCACUCGUACAGGAUGCCUGCAGAGAGACACUACAGAGUGAUCGCAUCUCCCUUCCUGAGUUCCAAGGUUAUCGUCUGGCCUCCUGUCCAGUUGACCAACACUUGCUCCAUAGGCUUUGACUCCUCCACACUUCCAGGUUGCAUCAUCUGGUCCCUGCAUCAGCUGUGGGAGAGGCUAGAUCUAAGACAGCAGCUGAAGCAUCUGUGGCAUAAGCCAGGAUCUUCAGGACAAGUCAGUGAGUGGGUGUGGGGUGAGUGGCCCUUCCCACAUCCCUGCCUGAAACUUGCAGCGCUGGAAGUUUGGCCAGUGGGUUCUGUAGCAUCGUUUAGCUAGAAACCCACAGCUUCUUGUGCACCUAGAGCAAGUGAUAUGUUCAAGUCGAUGCUGGUGUGGCCAUGCCCUGCAGGUGUGCGAAUGAAGUCAGCAUUCCAUCCCUCUGCAGCUACAAGACAGUACAAGCCCUCAGCUAGAAGAAGGGAGCAGGCUUCCCAGGGAUAUCAACUGAAGAUGCAAGAAGAGGCACAAACCUUCACAUCAAGGCUGGAUGAGGCAUCCUAGUAGGAGGACAAGCAUCUUAAGAGGAGGUCGGGCUACAGUAAUGAAGAAGUGACCAUGCAUAGCAAGCAGGUGAGUAUUUAUUGUUGAGGCAUUUUCUAAGUACUUUGAGCAUAUUCACUCACAUAAUUAUUAGCAAGCAUGCGUUUUGCACAUGGGAGAGAUGUAUUUGUGGAAUGGAUUUUGGUACCAAGCAAACAUUUCCCAGUAAAUCUUGUCAAUCUAGAUGGAGUGUUAGAAAUGUUCCUAUGGGGCAAAAAUCUGACAGUAAGUAGGUUUAAAGAAGUCUUCCUUUUAGCCACUUUUAGACAGGGACACUGAGGGAAGUUGUUUCUAAAUGCUCAAGA
Mus musculus (house mouse) is the source of this 1126-nucleotide long non-coding RNA. RefSeq annotates it as predicted gene, 53960. The transcript is spliced from 3 exons. NCBI's taxonomy places the organism in Eukaryota, Metazoa, Chordata, Mammalia, Rodentia, Muridae. The record is from RefSeq and is a predicted model, not a curated record.